This 432-nucleotide ribosomal RNA is filed under the name uncultured bacterium. RNAcentral's name for it is "partial 16S ribosomal RNA". It matches the Rfam family "Bacterial small subunit ribosomal RNA", at positions 29 to 507 of the family's 1533-position model. The record is from RNAcentral.
ACGAACGCUGGCGGCAUGCCUAACCCCUGCAAGUCGCACGAUGCCUUCGGGCAUAGUGGCGCACGGGUGCGUAACGCGUGGGGAUCUGCCUUUCGGUUCGGAAUAACUCAGGGAAACUUGAGCUAAUACCGGAUAACGUCGCAAGACCAAAGAUUUAUCACCGAAAGAUGAGCCCGCGUAGGAUUAGCUAGUUGGUGAGGUAAAGGCUCACCAAGGCGACGAUCCUUAGCUGGUCUGAGAGGAUGAUCAGCCACACUGGGACUGAGACACGGCCCAGACUCCUACGGGAGGCAGCAGUGGGGAAUAUUGGACAAUGGGCGAAAGCCUGAUCCAGCAAUGCCGCGUGAGUGAUGAAGGCCUUAGGGUUGUAAAGCUCUUUUACCCGGGAAGAUAAUGACGGUACCGGGAGAAUAAGCCCCGGCUAACUCCGUG